GCUGGUGCUUUAUAAUAGAUGACAGGAUACCCUGGACGGUGGUGACGUGAUUGCAAGACGUUAUUACCGUUUACAUA
Molecule: small RNA, 77 nt
Filed under: uncultured Lacrimispora sp.
Lineage: Bacteria; Bacillati; Bacillota; Clostridia; Lachnospirales; Lachnospiraceae
Description: COG2827 RNA
Rfam family: COG2827 RNA
About the family: Clostridiales. Nearby to self-splicing intron genes
Source: RNAcentral